GCCUCCGUCGCCUAAUGGAUAAGGCAUCGGUUUUCUAAACCGGGAUUGUGGGUUCGAGUCCCACCGGAGGUA
This 72-nucleotide transfer RNA is filed under the name Strongylocentrotus purpuratus (purple sea urchin). RNAcentral describes it as "tRNA-Arg". It matches the Rfam family "tRNA". From Rfam's summary of the family: Transfer RNA (tRNA) molecules are approximately 80 nucleotides in length. Their secondary structure includes four short double-helical elements and three loops (D, anti-codon, and T loops). The record is from Rfam by way of RNAcentral. Lineage: Eukaryota; Metazoa; Echinodermata; Echinoidea; Camarodonta; Strongylocentrotidae.